Rhizophagus irregularis is the source of this 82-nucleotide non-coding RNA. The record is from Rfam. NCBI's taxonomy places the organism in Eukaryota, Fungi, Glomeromycota, Glomeromycetes, Glomerales, Glomeraceae.
ACGGCUAUGUUGGAAUUGGCAGACAAGUGUGACUUAGGAUCACGUGGGUAAUACCGUGAGGGUUCAAAUCCCUCUAGCCGUA